AGCGAACGCUGGCGGCAGGCCUAACACAUGCAAGUCGAACGAACCUUUCGGGGUUAGUGGCGGACGGGUGAGUAACACGUGGGAACGUGCCUUUAGGUUCGGAAUAACUCAGGGAAACUUGUGCUAAUACCGAAUGUGCCCUUCGGGGGAAAGAUUAAUCGCCUUUAGAGCGGCCCGCGUCUGAUUAGCUAGUUGGUUGAGGUAAUGGCUCACCAAGGCGACGAUCAGUAGCUGGUCUGAGAGGAUGAUCAGCCACAUUGGGACUGAGACACGGCCCAAACUCCUACGGGAGGCAGCAGUGGGGAAUCUUGCGCAAUGGGCGAAAGCCUGACGCAGCCAUGCCGCGUGAAUGAUGAAGGUCUUAGGAUUGAAAGAGUCUUUCACCGGGGACGAUAAUGACGGUACCCGGAGAAGAAGCCCCGGCUGACUUCGUG
This 434-nucleotide ribosomal RNA is filed under the name uncultured bacterium. RNAcentral's name for it is "partial 16S ribosomal RNA". It matches the Rfam family "Bacterial small subunit ribosomal RNA", at positions 29 to 507 of the family's 1533-position model. The record is from RNAcentral.